GGCAGGCUUACACAUGCAAGUCGAGCGGGGGAAGGUAGCUUGCUACCGGACCUAGCGGCGGACGGGUGAGUAAUGCUUAGGAAUCUGCCUAUUAGUGGGGGACAACAUCUCGAAAGGGAUGCUAAUACCGCAUACGUCCUACGGGAGAAAGCAGGGGAUCUUCGGACCUUGCGCUAAUAGAUGAGCCUAAGUCGGAUUAGCUAGUUGGUGGGGUAAAGGCCUACCAAGGCGACGAUCUGUAGCGGGUCUGAGAGGAUGAUCCGCCACACUGGGACUGAGACACGGCCCAGACUCCUACGGGAGGCAGCAGUGGGGAAUAUUGGACAAUGGGGGGAACCCUGAUCCAGCCAUGCCGCGUGUGUGAAGAAGGCCUUAUGGUUGUAAAGCACUUUAAGCGAGGAGGAGGCUACUCUAGUUAAUACCUAGGGAUAGUGGACGUUACUCGCAGAAUAAGCACCGGCUAACUCUGUGCCAGCAGCCGCGGUAAUACAGAGGGUGCGAGCGUUAAUCGGAUUUACUGGGCGUAAAGCGUGCGUAGGCGGCUUAUUAAGUCGGAUGUGAAAUCCCCGAGCUUAACUUGGGAAUUGCAUUCGAUACUGGUGAGCUAGAGUAUGGGAGAGGAUGGUAGAAUUCCAGGUGUAGCGGUGAAAUGCGUAGAGAUCUGGAGGAAUACCGAUGGCGAAGGCAGCCAUCUGGCCUAAUACUGACGCUGAGGUACGAAAGCAUGGGGAGCAAACAGGAUUAGAUACCCUGGUAGUCCAUGCCGUAAACGAUGUCUACUAGCCGUUGGGGCCUUUGAGGCUUUAGUGGCGCAGCUAACGCGAUAAGUAGACCGCCUGGGGAGUACGGUCGCAAGACUAAAACUCAAAUGAAUUGACGGGGCCCGCACAAGCGGUGGAGCAUGUGGUUUAAU
This 913-nucleotide ribosomal RNA is filed under the name Acinetobacter baumannii. Its description in RNAcentral is "bacterial SSU rRNA". It matches the Rfam family "Bacterial small subunit ribosomal RNA", at positions 41 to 950 of the family's 1533-position model. Lineage: Bacteria; Pseudomonadati; Pseudomonadota; Gammaproteobacteria; Moraxellales; Moraxellaceae. The record is from RNAcentral.